GAUGAACGCUGGCGGCGUGCCUAAUACAUGCAAGUCGAGCGAACGGACGAGAAGCUUGCUUUUCUGAUGUUAGCGGCGGACGGGUGAGUAACACGUGGAUAACCUACCUAUAAGACUGGGAUAACUUCGGGAAACCGGAGCUAAUACCGGAUAAUAUUUUGAACCGCAUGGUUCAAAAGUGAAAGACGGUCUUGCUGUCACUUAUAGAUGGAUCCGCGCUGCAUUAGCUAGUUGGUAAGGUAACGGCUUACCACGGCAACGAUGCAUAGCCGACCUGAGAGGGUGAUCGGCCACACUGGAACUGAGACACGGUCCAGACUCCUACGGGAGGCAGCAGUAGGGAAUCUUCCGCAAUGGGCGAAAGCCUGACGGAGCAACGCCGCGUGAGUGGUGAAGGUCUUCGGAUCGUAAAACUCUGUUAUUAGGGAAGAACAUAUGUGUAAGUAACUGUGCACAUCUUGACGGUACCUAAUCAGAAAGCCACGGCUAACUACGUG
RNAcentral lists this ribosomal RNA (497 nucleotides) under uncultured bacterium. RNAcentral's name for it is "partial 16S ribosomal RNA". It matches the Rfam family "Bacterial small subunit ribosomal RNA", at positions 28 to 507 of the family's 1533-position model. The record is from RNAcentral.